Phyllostomus discolor (pale spear-nosed bat) is the source of this 2241-nucleotide long non-coding RNA. RefSeq lists it as uncharacterized. The transcript is spliced from 2 exons. Lineage: Eukaryota; Metazoa; Chordata; Mammalia; Chiroptera; Phyllostomidae. The record is from RefSeq and is a predicted model, not a curated record.
UGUACUUGAACAACAAUAAAAAAUUUAAAAAAUAUGUAGAAAAUCUGUAAGAGGAGAAGAAACGUGGACAUUUAAAAGUGUUUCUACUGUUAGUCUCUGUGAGGAAAGAAAGAAUUUGCUCUAAGCAUGUUGUUCUCAGUUUUGUAGAAAUUCUUUUGAAUCCCUUUUUAUUCAUCUUCUCAGCAAAUAUUGACUGAGUGUAUUCACUGUGCUUUUACUGGCUAUACUAAAAUAAAUAAGGUAGGCACAGCCUCUGCCUUUGAAGUAAGAAGAACAGAAACAGAAAGAGCAAUAGGUAUGUACCAGGGUUGUUGUAAGUCACACAUGAGAUGCAUGGUCCCUAACCGUAACACACAGCCCUCUAAGGCAAAUUUUAUUGCAUCCAUGUUCAAGAUGAAGGUACCAUGGCUCAGACUUGAAUUGUGGACUCCUGGCUUCAAAGCCAGUGACUGAAGCCCCUGCGUUCACCCCUCUCAAUGACUCAUUCUUAUGGCCAAAUUAAACUCCUGGAGGACAUAUACAUUAUCAGUUUCUCUCAGUUCAUUAAAUCAACAGUAGUGACUAUUUUAUUAUUUACAAAGCUCUGCUUGGCAAUGAGACAAAUAAAAAUAAAUAAAAACUUACCUCAUGCCUUUGAUCAAAUAACUCUAAGAAAGGAACAUAGUGUCAUGUUCUUCUUUGUAACCCCAGGUGUGACUGUCCUGUUGGUUAUAUGGGUUGCACUGGCUUUCCCCAUGUGCAGUAAGGAGAAUGGUAGCCCCGUCUCUCUCUGAGAGAGCCCUGAGCAGUCAGACCAGGUUGAACCUGCGAAGCCUACUCCCUUCUGGGUUGUUCUGAUGCCCAGAGGACCCACCUGGUCCUGCAGCUGCUAAAGGGUUUUGCUGGAAACAUUGCAGCCCCCCAGAGCCCUUUUCCCAUGUAACUGGGCCCAGAACAGCAGAAACAGGAUUUUUAGGAUAGCAUUUUUUAAAAUUUUUAAUUGAUUUUAGAGAGCAGGAGGCAUUGAUUUGUUGUCCUACUUAUUUAUGUAUUCAAAUUGGUUGCUUCUUGUAUGUGCCCCAACCAGGCAUCAAACCCGCAAUCUUGGCAUAUCUGACAACAUUCUAACCAACUGAGCUACCCAGCCAGGGCAGGAUAGGAUUUCUUUGACAUCAGGGUCUUUGUCCUUCAUGGUACACUGGUAGCCACCAGCACUCUCUCAUUCAGAAAGACACAAAGUAGAAAAUGUAAGUCUUAUUUACCAGUAUUCAUCUUGGUGUAACAUGAAUAGAUAUAUUACUAGCUAACAAGCUUUUUUCCCCUCUGCUUUAAAAUCUUUUUUUUUUUUUUACCACUAAUGGAGCUGCUUAGAAAGUUAUCUUUAAUGUAUGUCAUUACACUCAACAAUAUCCUUGUGGUUUGAAAAACCCAGUGUCCCUUUCACUUAGCAGAUCAUGAAGCAGUAGCCAGAGCAGAAGGAAAAUUAGGGUGGGUGGAGAGAGUAAGUCCCCCAUUGAAGCCAAAGGAAGAGUAUUUCAAGGAGAGGAAUGUCCAGUAAGGUUAAAUGGGCCAGUGGGAGUGACUUAGGGUGCAGUUAACAGAAAAUGCCUUAGCAAACUAGGUGAAACAUUAAAGAAAUGUAUUCUCUUACAUAAAAGAGAGAGAGCCAAUGUUAAAGGAGGGUGGUGGUGUGUUUUCUCUUCCCAAUCAUAGUUCUUUUCAACCUGAGCCAAUUUGGUUCAUAUGCACAGCCUGGACCAAUGCCAAUCACCAGAGGAAAGCCAGCCUGGCUGCCCUUGAAGAUGCGGUCACUCUUCCCUGAAACACAUUAGGAGAAAGUAGAAACCUGAAUAAAAUUUGGGUUUGGCAGUAAAGGAAGAAUGGAGAAAUAGAAGCUGGGGAGACAGCUAACAAUGAGUACUACAAGUAUCAAGUGAGAUGAGGGUUGAAGAAGCAGGUCGGAUUUAACAACGUGGUGAUACUUGGAUGCUUUGUGGUGUGAUGAUGGAUUGCAGUGGGCUGAGGAUUGAAGGGGAGGUGAAACUUGGGUAAACUGUGUGUAGACAGCUCUUUCAAGAAGUUUUGCUCUGCUUGUCCUGGCCUAUGCUUUCUCUGCUCCCCUGUGCUCAAUUGUAACAGAGGAGUCCGGCAGGACACACAGCAAUCUCCCUCUCAGUUUAGGAGGGCCGUCCUGAGUAUAGGGCUGGCUCUUAAAGGCACGAGAGGACAAUAAUAAAGAAAAAAAAAAGAAAAAGAAGAAGA